GUUUGUGGCGACCAGUGUUGGGUGAGUGGGGGCAGCCGUUGAGACCUCCGUUGGGCACGAGGCGGUAGUGCGGAUAGCGAUGCCCGUUCAUUCCUGUGAGGAGAAAAGGGUAGCAAGAACAAGCCCGUGUCCCAAAUAGAAUGUAUUGUGAAUCCCAAGCAAUGAAAUGGUCGAAUGGGUAUGCAAACUAGCGACCGGGAAGUUGUAGAUACGUGUUAUGCAUGUAUUAAAAAAAAUACCUAAUGUCGCUGAUCGCACAGGCCCAUGAACUGUGGUCGCUUCGUCUUCAUCUGAAGAGUGUGACGAAGCCAAUUCCAGCGUUCUUUCACCAUCGGAACUUCCAUCGUCAUCAGAAUUUGAGCGCUUACGUCGUUUGCCAUGAUGUUUUCUGUCAACUUCAUCCCCAUAUUUUACUGCAAACAAUUAUCAACAAUUUGCAAAUGACACCACAGAUUAUUUAAGCUUUAUUGUAACCACCACCACCACAGGAUUAUUAACAUCUAGUCAAGGAAGCCACUGUUCCGUGAGAUGGAUUUAAAGGAGACUCUAAUUUGACUGUUUAAACUACAUCUGAGCUUACCUCGGUAGUGUGGCAAAGUAGCUCCAUAACCAUAAGGGCUGCUGGAUGUCUUCGUCGUGGAGCGGCUUGUUGUCGAUGCAGUUGAUACGCCAGAUCGUAUAUUUCUGAACAUGUCCUUUUUCCUGGGAUCAUCCCUACCUGCGACUCCCAAAUCUGUCCUGUACACCAAUGCCGAUCUCUACAAAGACAACGACCAAAUAAAUGUAUAAAUUCUUACGGAGGCAUUUUGCUGAGCGAUUGGAUCCCUUGAGCGGAACAGAGCUCCUGAAAACAAUAAUUACGACAUUUUUUAACAUUUGACAAUUGAUUGAAGUCCUGAAUGAAUAAAAUGUAUAACUUUCAUUACAUGUGAACUUGAUUAAUAAUUAGUUUUUAAAAAUUCGCCGUGCUCAUGACACAUGAAACAAAAGGACUUGACUUGCAUUCCAUCGUUACUUUAGUCUUAACAUAAUACGUAUUUGUGUCAUUUUGAAAUGUGAAUUAUAAUAAAUAGUACUUACCA
Long non-coding RNA from Folsomia candida, 1082 nucleotides. RefSeq lists it as uncharacterized. Lineage: Eukaryota; Metazoa; Arthropoda; Collembola; Entomobryomorpha; Isotomidae. The transcript is spliced from 5 exons. The record is from RefSeq and is a predicted model, not a curated record.